Molecule: long non-coding RNA, 1443 nt
Organism: Crotalus tigris (Tiger rattlesnake)
Lineage: Eukaryota; Metazoa; Chordata; Lepidosauria; Squamata; Viperidae
Exons: 2
Source: RefSeq, a predicted model, not a curated record
UGUGCUUUUCUCAUGCAGAAAAUGUAGACGCUGUUGUGCCCGCUUCACCAAUGUCUUGCUGUUGAGCAACCAAGCCAGCCUACUUGUUAAUUGUGCACCCAGGAAUUUGAUGCUGGUAACUAUCUCCAUAGGUGAAUCAUUGAUACACAGAGGAGUGAAGCUGUGCCUGCCUUUUCUGAAAUUGACAAUGAUCUCUUUGGUUUUUCCAAUGUUUAAAAAUAGGCUGUUUUCCUUACACCAGUUCACCAAACCCUCAAUCUUCUUGCAUUGUCAUCUUGAAUAGAGCCCACUACUGUUGCAUCAUCCACAGACCUCAUAAUAUGGUUGGUGGCAAACCUAGCACAACAGUCAUGAGUCAACAAGGUGAAAAGCAGCAGACUUAGGAUGCAGCCCUGAGGAGAAUCUGUGCUCAAGAAAAUGGUGUUAGAAAUAUUUGUUCCAACUUGCACAUACUGGGACCUGUUAGUAAGAAAAUCAAAAAUCCAGUUGCACAAAGGAGUGUUUAAGCCUAAAAAGGGCCCAGUUUGUCUACUAGAUGCUGGGGAAUGAUUGUGUUAAAUACUGAACUGAAGUCGACAAACAACAAACGCACCUGAGUAUUUCUCUCCUCUAAGCGCUCCAAGGUCAGAUGGAGAACAGAAGGAGGAGGCUGCGUGGCCCGCCACGCUGUACCACUGUCACAAGGCGAGGCAGGUGUGGAGGGGAUGGAGCUACCCCAAGUGCCCCAUAGAGGCCCAAACACUUUUCGCCAGAAGGAGACUGGAAGCUUUGUCUGCUUGCAAAUGGGGCACUUGGAAACUGAGCGGUUGACUCCAUUUCCAAGCACCCCAUUUGCAAGCCGAUGAAGCUUCCAGUCUCUGUCAUUUCUCUGUUUUGCUUUCUGCAUUGCAGCCCUCUCACAGCUGACAGCAGGAGGGCUGGGCUGAGCUGGGUAGGUCAGCGGAGCGGCGAGAAGUGUGGAAAUGCUCUGUGGAGGGGAUCUUCUAAGGUGGUGGUGUCUUUUUUUGGUGUGAUGAGAGCGGACGUGAGGAUGAAAUGAGAUGGUUUCGCUCCCUGUCCUCCAAGACGUAUCAGGGACCGAGAGGCACCCCCGCCCUAUCAGGUGUGGCCGCUGCAUCUUAAACUGUUUUCCUGACUGUGCUGCUGACAGGGAAGAUGGGCAAGAAAGCAUCACCAGUGCCGACAUUCAGACAUCUGCCCUGUUAUUUCUUGGCCAGAUUAUUUUUAAAUGGAUUGCAAAAGUAUAUUGAAAGUUGGAAACUGAAGGGAAGAAGGUGGAUCGUUUAGUCUGAAAUCCUGCCAAGUUGUUCUAUUGGACAGCAUGAGUACAGGGGAGGGAAUUCUUACAUUGUAUUACUUUGAUUAUUGGAGGGAAAGUUUAAAUCUAGUUUCACUUUUGAUCGUGCUGAUAUUAUGUAUCCAAUAAACAUGUUCUUUGAGGAA